This 462-nucleotide ribosomal RNA is filed under the name uncultured bacterium. RNAcentral's name for it is "partial 16S ribosomal RNA". It matches the Rfam family "Bacterial small subunit ribosomal RNA", at positions 28 to 507 of the family's 1533-position model. The record is from RNAcentral.
GACGAACGCUGGCGGCGUGCUUAACACAUGCAAGUCGAGCGGUAAGGCCUUUCGGGGUACACGAGCGGCGAAUGGGUGAGUAACACGUGGGUGAUCUGCCCUGCACUUCGGGAUAAGCCUGGGAAACUGGGUCUAAUACCGGAUAUGACCUCCUAUCGCAUGGUGGGUGGUGGAAAGAUUUAUCGGUGCAGGAUGGGCCCGCGGCCUAUCAGCUUGUUGGUGGGGUAAUGGCCUACCAAGGCGACGACGGGUAGCCGACCUGAGAGGGUGACCGGCCACACUGGGACUGAGACACGGCCCAGACUCCUACGGGAGGCAGCAGUGGGGAAUAUUGCACAAUGGGCGAAAGCCUGAUGCAGCGACGCCGCGUGAGGGAUGACGGCCUUCGGGUUGUAAACCUCUUUCAGCAGGGACGAAGCGCAAGUGACGGUACCUGCAGAAGAAGCACCGGCUAACUACGUG